GACGAACGCUGGCGGCGUGCUUAACACAUGCAAGUCGAACGGUAAGGCCCUUCGGGGUACACGAGUGGCGAACGGGUGAGUAACACGUGGGUGAUCUGCCCUGCACUUCGGGAUAAGCCUGGGAAACUGGGUCUAAUACCGGAUAGGACCACUGCCUGCAUGGGUGGUGGUGGAAAGCUUUUGCGGUGUGGGAUGGGCCCGCGGCCCAUCAGCUUGUUGGUGGGGUGAUGGCCUACCAAGGCGACGACGGGUAGCCGGCCUGAGAGGGCGACCGGCCACACUGGGACUGGGAUACGGCACAGACUCCUACGGGAGGCAGCAGUGGGGAAUAUUGCACAAGGGGCGCAAGCCUGAUGCAGCGACGCCGCGUGAGGAAUGACGGCCGUCGGGUUGUAAACCUCUUUCAGCACCGACGAAGCGCAAGUGACGGUAGGUGCAGAAGAAGGACCGGCCAACUACGUGCCAGCCGCCGCCGUAA
RNAcentral lists this ribosomal RNA (478 nucleotides) under uncultured bacterium. RNAcentral describes it as "partial 16S ribosomal RNA". It matches the Rfam family "Bacterial small subunit ribosomal RNA", at positions 28 to 523 of the family's 1533-position model. The record is from RNAcentral.